Molecule: small nuclear RNA, 156 nt
Filed under: Encephalitozoon cuniculi GB-M1
Lineage: Eukaryota; Fungi; Microsporidia; Unikaryonidae
Description: U1 snRNA
Source: RNAcentral
ACUUACCAUGUGGAGAUGAGGCAGCCUUCACUGCUGCUUGCAUCGUGGAUGUCCAAUUCUCACGACACAAAAUGGAGCAAUGGGCAUCCAUUUGGGCAACAGCCUGCCACCCAAUUUCUUUUCCGGGAGAUCAAGCAAGACUUGCUUUCUCCUUAU